RNAcentral lists this ribosomal RNA (164 nucleotides) under Pinanga simplicifrons. RNAcentral's name for it is "5.8S rRNA". It matches the Rfam family "5.8S ribosomal RNA". Rfam says of the family: 5.8S ribosomal RNA (5.8S rRNA) is a component of the large subunit of the eukaryotic ribosome. It is transcribed by RNA polymerase I as part of the 45S precursor that also contains 18S and 28S rRNA. Lineage: Eukaryota; Viridiplantae; Streptophyta; Magnoliopsida; Arecales; Arecaceae. The record is from RNAcentral.
AUGAUGACCCUCGACAAUGGAUAUCUCAGCUCUCGCAUCGAUGAAGAACGUAGCGAAAUGCGAUACUUGGUGUGAAUUGCAGAAUCCCGUGAACCAUUGAGUCUUUGAAUGCAAGUUGCACCCGAGGCCACCCGGUCAAGGGCAUGCCUGGCUGGGCAUCACGC